This 460-nucleotide ribosomal RNA is filed under the name uncultured bacterium. Its description in RNAcentral is "partial 16S ribosomal RNA". It matches the Rfam family "Bacterial small subunit ribosomal RNA", at positions 338 to 795 of the family's 1533-position model. The record is from RNAcentral.
CCUACGGGAGGCAGCAGUGAGGAAUAUUGGUCAAUGGGCGUAAGCCUGAACCAGCCAAGUCGCGUGAGGGAUGAAGGUUCUAUGGAUCGUAAACCUCUUUUAUAAGGGAAUAAAGUGCGGGACGUGUCCCGUUUUGUAUGUACCUUAUGAAUAAGGAUCGGCUAACUCCGUGCCAGCAGCCGCGGUAAUACGGAGGAUCCGAGCGUUAUCCGGAUUUAUUGGGUUUAAAGGGUGCGUAGGCGGCCUUUUAAGUCAGCGGUGAAAGUCUGUGGCUCAACCAUAGAAUUGCCGUUGAAACUUGGAGGCUUGAGUAUGUUUGAGGCAGGCGGAAUGCGUGGUGUAGCGGUGAAAUGCGUAGAUAUCACGCAGAACACCGAUUACGAAGGCAGCCUGCUAAGCCAUGACUGACGCUGAUGCACGAAAGCGUGGGGAUCAAACAGGAUUAGAUACCCGAGUAGUC